GCAACCAGCAAAGCAAUUCCCAAUUUCAUAUUGCCUUUGUUCCAAAUCAAUGGCCUCCAUGCAAUGCCAUAAAGACACCAACCAUGUCCAAUCUUCAACCCAUAAGACCAACACCGAACACUCUUUCACCAAUAAAGUGAAGGAGAUGGCCGGGAAAAUGUUUCCUCGCGACCAAAAAAAUCGCUGCCAGAAACACGAGCAUGGGCAAGUGCAUAAACCGGAGCAUGGUAGGAAUGGGAAUGACUGCAUGCCUACGAUACGAGAACACGUGAAUAUGUAUAAGAAGAAGAAUAAGAAGAAGAAGAGAGAGGAAGGAAAACACACUGAUACUAGUGAUAGUAGCAGCAGUGACAAUGAUGAAUGAUUGCUCGUAAAAAGAAGGAUUAAAGAGAAGGACCAUUCUGAAAGAUCAUACCGUAUAAGGGAUUGAAAUAUAUAUAUCUAAGGAUACGUUCUUUAAGAUAAUAUAUAAAUAAGAGAGCAAUAAACGAGAAUGAACUUACUAUGUAUAAUGAAGAGUUCAUUGAUAAUAAUGAAAAUUUUUAUAUUAUACUACCAAUCUUCUUUA
Olea europaea var. sylvestris is the source of this 568-nucleotide long non-coding RNA. RefSeq lists it as uncharacterized. The transcript has 2 exons. The record is from RefSeq and is a predicted model, not a curated record. Lineage: Eukaryota; Viridiplantae; Streptophyta; Magnoliopsida; Lamiales; Oleaceae.